CCUACGGGUGGCAGCAGUGGGGAAUAUUGGACAAUGGGCGAAAGCCUGAUCCAGCCAUGCCGCGUGUGUGAAGAAGGCCUUCGGGUUGUAAAGCACUUUCAGUGGGGAAGAAAGCCUUGGGGCUAAUACCCUCGAGGAAGGACAUCACCCACAGAAGAAGCACCGGCUGAACUCCGUGCCAGCAGCCGCGGUAAUACGGAGGGUGCGAGCGUUAAUCGGAAUUACUGGGCGUAAAGCGCGCGUAGGCGGUCUGAUAAGCCGGUUGUGAAAGCCCCGGGCUCAACCUGGGAACGGCAUCCGGAACUGUCAGGCUAGAGUGCAGGAGAGGAAGGUAGAAUUCCCGGUGUAGCGGUGAAAUGCGUAGAGAUCGGGAGGAAUACCAGUGGCGAAGGCGGCCUUCUGGACUAACACUGACGCUGAGGUGCGAAAGCGUGGGUAGCAAACAGGAUUAGAUACCCUAGUAGUC
This 466-nucleotide ribosomal RNA is filed under the name Vreelandella stevensii. RNAcentral describes it as "partial 16S ribosomal RNA". It matches the Rfam family "Bacterial small subunit ribosomal RNA", at positions 338 to 795 of the family's 1533-position model. The record is from RNAcentral. Lineage: Bacteria; Pseudomonadati; Pseudomonadota; Gammaproteobacteria; Oceanospirillales; Halomonadaceae.